GGUUCCUCCCAAAGCUCGGCGCGGUGGGCUACCCCGAGGAGCAGGGGGGCCCCGGGGGUCUCCCCCACCGAACAGACCCUCGCACAAGGUCGGGGCUCAGUAAGUGCCCUAGCAGGCCCCAAUCACAACAGCCGCUGCCAGGCAGUCACCCACUCCGACCUCCCCGAGGCUGCCCAUUCCACUGGGGAGGAAGAACUCCCCGGCCUCUUCCUGCCCCACUCCGAAGCCGCGCGCCAGCCGGGCCUCCGUUUCUCAGCCCGUAGAGUUGUGCAGGACCCCGCCCAGCUCGCCAGAAGUCCUCCCUGCAGUGACGCACUUCUACUCUCCGAAGGCACAUCUUCCCGUGGUGGCCCGGGCGCGUUCCCGGCACGCCGGGGGCGAGAGCGCGCCCGUCCCAGCCGCCAGUCACCUUCCCAAUGCCCCCGCCCUCUCCUCACUGCGCAGACUCAACACCCUCUAGCCCUCCCCCCCAUACUUGGCCCCGCCCCGCUCCCUCCCUCCCUCCAUCCCUCGCGAGAGCGCCGGGCGGGGCCGGGCUGCAGCGGUGGAGGCGGAGCUGGGGAGAGGCGGGCGCUUAGCCGGCGUCUUCCGCAAGGAGGAGGCCUAGGCCCCCGGGGGCGAGUUGCUCUCGUUGCCUCUCUCCUCUGCGGGCGGCCUCGGGGGCGGCGCCUGCCGGCUGUGACUGAGGCCGCGGGCAAUUUCCCGGGUGGAGGCCUCCCACUCGCCAACGGCCGCCCCGACGGGCGCCGCCGCCUGACCCGGCCGGGCUUCCGUCCCCGCGGACCCGGCCUCGCUCUGACGCCGCUGCUUGGCCCGGCCGGGCUUCCGUCCUCGCGGACCCGGCCUCGUUCUGAAGCCGCCGCGGCCUCUUGGCCCGGCCGGGCUUCAGUCCCCCGUGUCCCCGCUCGGACCGCCCGCAGGGAGCGAGGAGGGGAGAGGCCGGCGCGGCCCCCGCCUCGCCUGAGCCCAGCCCAGCCCUGCAGGCCCGGCCCGGCCCGGCCCCCGCGUCGUCGGUGGUCGCCUUGUUGCGUGGCCGGCGGGGGCCAGGGCCGGGCCGGGGCCCGGGGCCUCUUCCCUCUCUCGUCCCCCCUGCCCCCCAGCCGGAGGAGGCCGGGCCGGAGCCGGCGGGGAGUGCCCCACUCCGCCCCCGCGGCCCCGCCCGCCCGCCCAUGGCCCGCCGCUGCUGCGCGUCUUCGGCCCAUGGAUUUGUGA
RNAcentral lists this long non-coding RNA (1212 nucleotides) under Phascolarctos cinereus (koala). Its description in RNAcentral is "lncRNA (ENSPCIG00000031364.1)". The record is from RNAcentral. Lineage: Eukaryota; Metazoa; Chordata; Mammalia; Diprotodontia; Phascolarctidae.